This 440-nucleotide ribosomal RNA is filed under the name uncultured bacterium. Its description in RNAcentral is "bacterial SSU rRNA". It matches the Rfam family "Bacterial small subunit ribosomal RNA", at positions 30 to 477 of the family's 1533-position model. The record is from RNAcentral.
AUUGAACGCUGGCGGAAUGCUUUACACAUGCAAGUCGAACGGCAGCACGAGGGCAACCUUGGUGGCGAGUGGCGAACGGGUGAGUAAUACAUCGGAACGUGCCCAGUCGUGGGGGAUAACGUAGCGAAAGCUACGCUAAUACCGCAUACGAUCUAUGGAUGAAAGCGGGGGACCGUAAGGCCUCGCGCGAUUGGAGCGGCCGAUGGCAGAUUAGGUAGUUGGUGGGGGUAAAGGCUCACCAAGCCUGCGAUCUGUAGCUGGUCUGAGAGGACGACCAGCCACACUGGAACUGAGACACGGUCCAGACUCCUACGGGAGGCAGCAGUGGGGAAUUUUGGACAAUGGGCGCAAGCCUGAUCCAGCCAUUCCGCGUGCAGGAUGAAGGCCUCGGGUUGUAACUGCUUUGUACGGUAACGAAAGGUUUACCGUUAAUUACGGUA